UAGGUUAAUUAUUUGUUAUUUUAUUUGUCGGGACUUAGAGAAAAAAAAAAAAAAAAAACCACAGCUGGGACUUAAAACGUAUUUUGGUAUUAGAUUUAUGGCAGCCACUGUUAAGCUUACAAUUUUAUUGUUUAAAAAUAAUUAUGUUUACGUAAUGUGCUUUCUUUGCAUUAUAUAUUUGCUUUUGCGUA
Drosophila arizonae is the source of this 191-nucleotide long non-coding RNA. The record is from RefSeq and is a predicted model, not a curated record. NCBI's taxonomy places the organism in Eukaryota, Metazoa, Arthropoda, Insecta, Diptera, Drosophilidae.